UUUUCACAGCUGCCAGGCGGAUUGUGUGCAUCUGGGGGUGGGACUGACAAUGAGCAACAAAUGUCUUCCUGUUUAAAACACGGUCUUCCGGCGUCAUUUGUUUGUAACGUGUUGCCGGCGUCGGAAGGCUGGAAUUGCUAGCGGUACAUCGGUCGUUGAGCGUGAAUCGCUUCAGACAAACUCUGGGUGGCAGCCAGUAGCGUUAGCAUUCAUCGCCAGCUGUGCAAGAGUAUGCCGAAAGCCUGUCCCCCCUCCUACCUCGGCUCACCUCUUGUGAUGACCGGUCAUUGACUUUUUAAGGCCUUCGAAUUGUGGGCAAGGGGUUCUGACCACUGUUUUCUCCGUGUUUUGUUUGAGUUCUAGUAUCGUAGCCAGUCAUGUUUUUCUUUUAGUUUGGGGUUGUUGAUAUCGUGUCUGUGUGUGGGUGUGUGCGCGUGCGUCUUCGUAC
Molecule: long non-coding RNA, 448 nt
Organism: Alosa sapidissima (American shad)
Lineage: Eukaryota; Metazoa; Chordata; Actinopteri; Clupeiformes; Clupeidae
Exons: 3
Source: RefSeq, a predicted model, not a curated record